AUGACGGUGAUGGAGCUCAAGGCGCUACCGCUCGGUUUCAGGUUCCACCCCACCGACGAGGAGCUCGUCAGGCACUACCUCAAGGGGAAGAUCACGGGGCAGAUCAAGAACGAGGUCGAGGUGAUCCCGGAGAUCGACGUCUGCAAGUGCGAGCCGUGGGACCUCCCAGAUAAAGCUUUGAUCCGCUCGGAGGAUCCAGAGUGGUUCUUCUUUGCACCAAAGGACCGCAAGUAUCCCAAUGGAAGCAGGUCAAACAGGGCGACGGAGGCUGGGUACUGGAAGGCCACCGGGAAGGACAGGGUCAUCAAGUCCAAGGGCGAGAAGAAGAAGCAGCAUAUGAUUGGCAUGAAGAAGACCCUUGUGUUCCACCGAGGACGUGCCCCGAAAGGGGAGCGCACUGGUUGGAUUAUGCACGAGUACCGCACCACCGAGCCAGAGUUUGAGUCUGGCGAGCAGGGUGGUUAUGUUCUCUACCGCCUAUUUCAAAAGCAAUUGGAGAAAACUGAGCGCUCCAUUCCAGAGGAAAUGGAUAGAAGUGGCUACUCUCCCACUCCAUCUCGUUCAACUCCUGACAACAUGGAAGCAAACGAGGAAGCUAUCACACUCAUAAAUAAGGAAUUUCCUGAAUCUGGUCUGCAUGGAUGUCCAAUUGAGUUGCCAGGUACCAUUGAUACUCCGGGCACACCAGUUACAAGGUGGCUUGCAGACCGAAAUGGCAAUUCGGGGAUAGAUGAAGCAAAUGUUUUAGGCAUGCCUUUUCAUGGUAAUGUCGAUGAAAGUCCGAAGCAGGCUGAUAUGCCGGUUGGCUCUUUGGCUCACCUAAUUGAUUCACAGACGAAAAAUCUCGGGUCUCAUGAAUUUGCAACCGUUUCCGCCCCCAUGUUAUCGCUUGAUGAUGUGGAUAAGCUUCUACUUCAGUUACCUCAUAAUUCAGUGGAAGAUUUCUUGAAUGAAACAAUUGCUGAUCCAGAUGAGCAUUCAUCAACUGCAUGUAAAGUUCAGUAUGAUUCAGACACUGUUUUUAUGCAGGCUCAGGGUGAGUUGCUAUAUGAUGGUCCAAACUGGUUCGGUAAUUUUCUGUCAGAUGACACAAAUCCGCAACAAAGUGGAUUAUAUGAGAAUGCAACAUUGCUUCCUUAUGGCACUAAUCCGGAUGUACUUUCCAUGGACUCCGGCGAUGAGUCCUUGCAAGAUUUGUUCAAUAGCAUGGACGAUUCAAGUGGGCAGAAUGAUGUAUGGAGCAACGGUUUUGGAUUUAAUCCCAUGCAUCAGCAGUUACAGUCUACUGUGCAUCCGAACUAUAUAUUUUCUCAACAGGGCAUUGCACCAAGGAGGCUUCGGCUACUGGAUUCAUUGUCUGAUGUCAAUGUUGAGAGUAGAGAGAGCAUGACCAGAGAUGAACAUGAAGAUGAAGAAUCAGAUAUUGUAACUUCGAAGUAUACGAGUGAAUCUGUUGAGUCAUCUGCUGAUGUAGAUGAUUCUGAGUCAACCGGGGUUACUAUUAUGACCCGGCGCCGUGCUCUAACUAAAAGUGCGCCUUCCGACUGUGAUGACGCUCAAUCAACGGGGAUUACUAUUAUGGCCCGGCGCCCUGCUCCAAGUUCAAAUAUGCCUUCCAAUGAAGCUGAUGCUGAGGCAACAGGGAUUAAUAUUAUGAGCACAAGCACAGAUAGCUCAUUUACCACCGAACAAGGGACUGCAGUGCGAAGGUUACGGCUACAAUCAAACCUUGAUGCAGGAUCAUGUUCCAGUGUUGAUGGUGCGUCAAGUUGCAUUAUAAAACAUGGAAGUGAAAACAAAGGGCUGGAAGCUGAGAUUGAAGAGCAUGUGGACACAAACUUCCCAGACGACGCUGGCAACAGUCAUGCUGAUGAGCAAAUGUACAUGCCUGAUCAUGAAGCUAAUUCUGGUAUGAGGCUGCGGAAGACGGCAGAGAAAAGCGACAAGGAGAACAAGCAGGAGUGUGGUCUCCAGCCACAUGUGAGAGCACCAAGGAAGAGGGGAGGCUUCGCAGCACGCAUGAUCUUGCCAGUUCUGUCGGUGGCUCUUCUCGUCCUUGUCAGCGUUGGGAUCUACGGAUGGGCAUAA
Molecule: ribosomal RNA, 2088 nt
Filed under: Triticum aestivum (bread wheat)
Lineage: Eukaryota; Viridiplantae; Streptophyta; Magnoliopsida; Poales; Poaceae
Description: partial small subunit ribosomal RNA
Source: RNAcentral